Molecule: ribosomal RNA, 735 nt
Filed under: uncultured fungus
Lineage: Eukaryota; Fungi
Description: LSU rRNA
Rfam family: Eukaryotic large subunit ribosomal RNA
Source: RNAcentral
ACCCGCUGAACUUAAGCAUAUCAAUAAGCGGAGGAAAAGAAACUAACAAGGAUUCCCCUAGUAACGGCGAGUGAAGCGGGAAUAGCUCAAAUUUGAAAUCUCACAGGGUUACCUGUGCGAAUUGUAGUUUAGAGAAGCGUUUUCGGGGGCGACUUGGGUAUAAGUCCUCUGGAAAGGGGCAUCAUAGAGGGUGAGAAUCCCGUUUAUGGUCCAAUGUUCGCUCCUAUGUGAUACGCUUUCCAAGAGUCAGGUAGUUUGGGAUUGCUGCCUAAAAUGGGUGGUAAAUACCAUCUAAAGCUAAAUAUUGGCGAGAGACCGAUAGCAAACAAGUACCGUGAGGGAAAGAUGAAAAGAACUUUGAAAAGAGAGUUAAACAGUACGUGAAAUUGCCAAAAGGGAAACGCUUGGAACCAGUAUUGCUUGCAGGUAAUCAGCCGCACGUCCCGCAAGGGUCGCGUGUGGUGCACUUGCUUGCAGGCAGGUCAGCAUCAGUUUGGCUCGAGGUAAAAAGCCGGAGGAAGGUGACUUGGGCUUCGGUCUGAGUGUUAUAGCUUCCGGUCAUGCCCCGAGCUGGACUGAGGUCUGCAGCGUUUUUGGGAUUCCAGAUCGCCUUUCGAAGCUUGCGUCCAGACAGCAUGCUGACUGGAUGUAAGUCUAGGGAGCUCGGUAGGGUUCAUCACUCCAACGCUUAGGAUGCUGACGAAAUGGUUCCAAACGACCCGUCUUGAAACACGG